Molecule: ribosomal RNA, 2513 nt
Filed under: Klebsiella pneumoniae
Lineage: Bacteria; Pseudomonadati; Pseudomonadota; Gammaproteobacteria; Enterobacterales; Enterobacteriaceae
Description: partial 23S ribosomal RNA
Rfam family: Bacterial large subunit ribosomal RNA
Source: RNAcentral
UGUGAACUCGAAGAGUAGGGCGGGACACGUGGUAUCCUGUCUGAAUAUGGGGGGACCAUCCUCCAAGGCUAAAUACUCCUGACUGACCGAUAGUGAACCAGUACCGUGAGGGAAAGGCGAAAAGAACCCCGGCGAGGGGAGUGAAAAAGAACCUGAAACCGUGUACGUACAAGCAGUGGGAGCACCUUCGGGUGUGACUGCGUACCUUUUGUAUAAUGGGUCAGCGACUUAUAUUCUGUAGCAAGGUUAACCGUAUAGGGGAGCCGCAGGGAAACCGAGUCUUAACUGGGCGUUAAGUUGCAGGGUAUAGACCCGAAACCCGGUGAUCUAGCCAUGGGCAGGUUGAAGGUUGGGUAACACUAACUGGAGGACCGAACCGACUAAUGUUGAAAAAUUAGCGGAUGACUUGUGGCUGGGGGUGAAAGGCCAAUCAAACCGGGAGAUAGCUGGUUCUCCCCGAAAGCUAUUUAGGUAGCGCCUCGUGAACUCAUCUUCGGGGGUAGAGCACUGUUUCGGCUAGGGGGUCAUCCCGACUUACCAACCCGAUGCAAACUACGAAUACCGAAGAAUGUUAUCACGGGAGACACACGGCGGGUGCUAACGUCCGUCGUGAAGAGGGAAACAACCCAGACCGCCAGCUAAGGUCCCAAAGUCAUGGUUAAGUGGGAAACGAUGUGGGAAGGCACAGACAGCCAGGAUGUUGGCUUAGAAGCAGCCAUCAUUUAAAGAAAGCGUAAUAGCUCACUGGUCGAGUCGGCCUGCGCGGAAGAUGUAACGGGGCUAAACCAUGCACCGAAGCUGCGGCAGCGACACUAUGUGUUGUUGGGUAGGGGAGCGUUCUGUAAGCCUGCGAAGGUGUGCUGUGAGGCAUGCUGGAGGUAUCAGAAGUGCGAAUGCUGACAUAAGUAACGAUAAAGCGGGUGAAAAGCCCGCUCGCCGGAAGACCAAGGGUUCCUGUCCAACGUUAAUCGGGGCAGGGUGAGUCGACCCCUAAGGCGAGGCCGAAAGGCGUAGUCGAUGGGAAACAGGUUAAUAUUCCUGUACUUGGUGUUACUGCGAAGGGGGGACGGAGAAGGCUAUGUUAGCCGGGCGACGGUUGUCCCGGUUUAAGCAUGUAGGCUGGUUANNNNNNNNNNNNNNNNNNNNNNNNNNNNNNNNNNNNNNNNNNNNNNNNNNNNNNNNNNNNNNNNNNNNNNNNNNNNNNNNNNNNNNNNNNNNNUAUCAAGGCUGAGGUGUGAUGACGAGGCACUACGGUGCUGAAGUAACAAAUGCCCUGCUUCCAGGAAAAGCCUCUAAGCAUCAGGUAACAUCAAAUCGUACCCCAAACCGACACAGGUGGUCAGGUAGAGAAUACCAAGGCGCUUGAGAGAACUCGGGUGAAGGAACUAGGCAAAAUGGUGCCGUAACUUCGGGAGAAGGCACGCUGGUGUGUAGGUGAAGUCCCUGCGGAUGGAGCUGAGACCAGUCGAAGAUACCAGCUGGCUGCAACUGUUUAUUAAAAACACAGCACUGUGCAAACACGAAAGUGGACGUAUACGGUGUGACGCCUGCCCGGUGCCGGAAGGUUAAUUGAUGGGGUUAUCCGUAAGGAGAAGCUCUUGAUCGAAGCCCCGGUAAACGGCGGCCGUAACUAUAACGGUCCUAAGGUAGCGAAAUUCCUUGUCGGGUAAGUUCCGACCUGCACGAAUGGCGUAAUGAUGGCCAGGCUGUCUCCACCCGAGACUCAGUGAAAUUGAACUCGCUGUGAAGAUGCAGUGUACCCGCGGCAAGACGGAAAGACCCCGUGAACCUUUACUAUAGCUUGACACUGAACAUUGAGCCUUGAUGUGUAGGAUAGGUGGGAGGCUUUGAAGCGUGGACGCCAGUCUGCGUGGAGCCAACCUUGAAAUACCACCCUUUAAUGUUUGAUGUUCUAACGUUGGCCCCUGACCGGGGUUGCGGACAGUGUCUGGUGGGUAGUUUGACUGGGGCGGUCUCCUCCCAAAGCGUAACGGAGGAGCACGAAGGUUAGCUAAUCCUGGUCGGACAUCAGGAGGUUAGUGCAAUGGCAUAAGCUAGCUUGACUGCGAGCGUGACGGCGCGAGCAGGUGCGAAAGCAGGUCAUAGUGAUCCGGUGGUUCUGAAUGGAAGGGCCAUCGCUCAACGGAUAAAAGGUACUCCGGGGAUAACAGGCUGAUACCGCCCAAGAGUUCAUAUCGACGGCGGUGUUUGGCACCUCGAUGUCGGCUCAUCACAUCCUGGGGCUGAAGUAGGUCCCAAGGGUAUGGCUGUUCGCCAUUUAAAGUGGUACGCGAGCUGGGUUUAGAACGUCGUGAGACAGUUCGGUCCCUAUCUGCCGUGGGCGCUGGAGAAUUGAGGGGGGCUGCUCCUAGUACGAGAGGACCGGAGUGGACGCAUCACUGGUGUUCGGGUUGUCAUGCCAAUGGCACUGCCCGGUAGCUAAAUGCGGAAGAGAUAAGUGCUGAAAGCAUCUAAGCACGAAACUUGCCCCGAGAUGAGUUCUCCCUGAGACU